This 460-nucleotide ribosomal RNA is filed under the name uncultured bacterium. Its description in RNAcentral is "partial 16S ribosomal RNA". It matches the Rfam family "Bacterial small subunit ribosomal RNA", at positions 338 to 795 of the family's 1533-position model. The record is from RNAcentral.
CCUACGGGAGGCAGCAGUGAGGAAUAUUGGUCAAUGGGCGCGAGCCUGAACCAGCCAAGUAGCGUGAAGGAUGACUGCCCUACGGGUUGUAAACUUCUUUUAUAAAGGAAUAAAGUGAGGCACGUGUGCCUUUUUGUAUGUACUUUAUGAAUAAGGAUCGGCUAACUCCGUGCCAGCAGCCGCGGUAAUACGGAGGAUCCGAGCGUUAUCCGGAUUUAUUGGGUUUAAAGGGAGCGUAGAUGGGUUGUUAAGUCAGUUGUGAAAGUUUGCGGCUCAACCGUAAAAUUGCAAUUGAUACUGGCAGCCUUGAGUACAGUUGAGGUAGGCGGAAUUCGUGGUGUAGCGGUGAAAUGCUUAGAUAUCACGAAGAACUCCGAUUGCGAAGGCAGCUUACUAAACUGCCACUGACAUUGAUGCUCGAAAGCGCGGGUAUCGAACAGGAUUAGAUACCCUGGUAGUC